CGACGAUGCUCUUUCCAACCGCACUGACACCUGCGGCUGUUGCUGCUGCUGUUGCAUGGCCUGCACUGCUUUAGUGAGACCUCUGACCUGCUGAACCAGCAGGUUGAACUGCUCCAUACUGACCACCGUUGCCGGAGGAGGAGGAGGAGCCUGAAAAACUGGAGGCGAGGUCAGAGCCUGAGAUUUGACCGCAGAGGCCGUGGAUCGUCUGGUAGAUGCCUUUCGGGGAGGCAUCAGGUGGAGAUCUAACAUG
Molecule: long non-coding RNA, 253 nt
Filed under: Elaeis guineensis (African oil palm)
Lineage: Eukaryota; Viridiplantae; Streptophyta; Magnoliopsida; Arecales; Arecaceae
Description: long non-coding RNA (EGUI_LNC078864)
Source: RNAcentral